RNAcentral lists this ribosomal RNA (563 nucleotides) under uncultured fungus. RNAcentral's name for it is "eukaryotic LSU rRNA". The stretch from base 222 to 375 matches the Rfam family "5.8S ribosomal RNA". Lineage: Eukaryota; Fungi. The record is from RNAcentral.
AAGUCGUAACAAGGUCUCCGUAGGUGAACCUGCGGAGGGAUCAUUACACAAUAUGAAAGCGGGUUGGGACCUCACCUCGGUGAGGGCUCCAGCUUGUCUGAAUUAUUCACCCAUGUCUUUUGCGCACUUCUUGUUUCCUGGGCGGGUUCGCCCGCCACCAGGACCAAACCAUAAACCUUUUUGUAAUUGCAAUCAGCGUCAGUAAACAAUGUAAUUAUUACAACUUUCAACAACGGAUCUCUUGGUUCUGGCAUCGAUGAAGAACGCAGCGAAAUGCGAUACGUAGUGUGAAUUGCAGAAUUCAGUGAAUCAUCGAAUCUUUGAACGCACAUUGCGCCCUUUGGUAUUCCAAAGGGCAUGCCUGUUCGAGCGUCAUUUGUACCCUCAAGCUUAGCUUGGUAUUGAGUCUAUGUCAGUAAUGGCAGGCUCUAAAAUCAGUGGCGGCGCCGCUGGGUCCUGAACGUAGUAAUAUCUCUCGUUACAGGUUCUCGGUGUGCUUCUGCCAAAACCCAAAUUUUUCUAUGGUUGACCUCGGAUCAGGUAGGGAUACCCGCUGAACUUAA